This 433-nucleotide ribosomal RNA is filed under the name uncultured bacterium. RNAcentral's name for it is "partial 16S ribosomal RNA". It matches the Rfam family "Bacterial small subunit ribosomal RNA", at positions 29 to 507 of the family's 1533-position model. The record is from RNAcentral.
AACGAACGCUGGCGGCAUGCCUAACACAUGCAAGUCGAACGAGACCUUCGGGUCUAGUGGCGCACGGGUGCGUAACGCGUGGGAAUCUACCCUCAGGUUCGGAAUAACUCAGAGAAAUUUGAGCUAAUACCGGAUGAUGACUUAAGUCCAAAGAUUUAUCGCCUGAGGAUGAGCCCGCUUAGGAUUAGGUAGUUGGUGAGGUAAAGGCUCACCAAGCCGACGAUCCUUAGCUGGUCUGAGAGGAUGAUCAGCCACACUGGGACUGAGACACGGCCCAGACUCCUACGGGAGGAAGCAGUGGGGAAUAUUGGACAAUGGGCGAAAGCCUGAUCCAGCAAUGCCGGGUGAGUGAUGAAGGCCUUAGGGUUGUAAAGCUCUUUUACCCGGGAUGAUAAUGACAGUACCGGGAGAAUAAGCGCCGGCUAACUACGUG